AGGCGCGAAACCUUUACAAUGCACGAAAGUGUGAUAAGGGGACCCUAAGUGACGAUGCUUUGCAUCAUCUUUUGCCAAGAGCAAAUAUCUUGGCGAAUAAGUGGUGGGCAGUACCUGUGCCAGCCGCCGCGGUAACCCAGGAGCCACAAGUGGCAACCACCUUUAUUGGGCCUAAAGCGUCCGUAGCCUGUCUUGUAAAUUUUCUGUGAAAUCGUUGCGCUUAACGUAACGGCGUGCAGAAAACACUGCAGGACUAGGGACCGGGAGGGGUCAGGGGUAUUUCUGGGGGAGCGGUAAAAUGCUAUAAUCCCAGAAGGACCACCUGUGGCGAAGGCGCCUGACCAGAACGGAUCCGACGGUGAGGGACGAAAGCUAGGGGAGCAAUCCGGAUUAGAUACCCGAGUAGUCCUAGCUGUAAACUCUGCGAGCUAGGUGUUGCGUAAUCUUAGGGAUUACGUGGUGUCGUAGUGAAGAUGAUAAGCUCGCCGCCUGGGGAGUACGGUCGCAAGGCUGAAACUUAAAGGAAUUGGCGGGGGAGGAC
Molecule: ribosomal RNA, 541 nt
Filed under: uncultured archaeon
Lineage: Archaea
Description: bacterial SSU rRNA
Rfam family: Archaeal small subunit ribosomal RNA
Source: RNAcentral